GCCUGGGUGGCUUAGUUGGUUAAGUGUCCGACUUCGGCUCAGGUCAUGAUCUCGCGUCGCGGUUCGUGGGUUUGAGCCCCACGUCAGGCU
Molecule: transfer RNA, 90 nt
Filed under: Felis catus (domestic cat)
Lineage: Eukaryota; Metazoa; Chordata; Mammalia; Carnivora; Felidae
Rfam family: tRNA
About the family: Transfer RNA (tRNA) molecules are approximately 80 nucleotides in length. Their secondary structure includes four short double-helical elements and three loops (D, anti-codon, and T loops). Further hydrogen bonds mediate the characteristic L-shaped molecular structure. tRNAs have two regions of fundamental functional importance: the anti-codon, which is responsible for specific mRNA codon recognition, and the 3' end, to which the tRNAs corresponding amino acid is attached (by aminoacyl-tRNA synthetases). tRNAs cope with the degeneracy of the genetic code in two manners: having more than one tRNA (with a specific anti-codon) for a particular amino acid; and 'wobble' base-pairing, i.e. permitting non-standard base-pairing at the 3rd anti-codon position.
Source: Rfam by way of RNAcentral